UACGUAGGGUGCAAGCGUUGUCCGGAUUUAUUGGGCGUAAAGAGCGUGUAGGCGGCUUGGCAAGUCUGCUGUGAAAACUCGAGGCUCAACCUCGAGCUGUCGGCGGAAACUGCUUGGCUAGAGUCCGGAAGAGGAGAGUGGAAUUCCUGGUGUAGCGGUGAAAUGCGCAGAUAUCAGGAAGAACACCUAUGGCGAAGGCAGCUCUCUGGGACGGUACUGACGCUGAGACGCGAAAGCGUGGGGAGCGAACAGG
RNAcentral lists this ribosomal RNA (253 nucleotides) under uncultured bacterium. Its description in RNAcentral is "partial 16S ribosomal RNA". It matches the Rfam family "Bacterial small subunit ribosomal RNA", at positions 524 to 776 of the family's 1533-position model. The record is from RNAcentral.